This is a long non-coding RNA of Thalassophryne amazonica, 186 nucleotides long. RefSeq lists it as uncharacterized. The record is from RefSeq and is a predicted model, not a curated record. Lineage: Eukaryota; Metazoa; Chordata; Actinopteri; Batrachoidiformes; Batrachoididae. The transcript is spliced from 2 exons.
CCCCUUAAACUCACUCGCCUCGGGACGCGAACUCAUGAAGCUCCGGCAUGGGAGUCGGACUCUCUAACCAGAAGGCUAAAACCCAGGGCUCUGGCCCUGUGACCGGAGAAUCCUUUUUGAGCUCUUGGGAGUGAGGUUUACUAACUACAUCUGCACAGCGACACCUGCUGGCCUCCGUUACACGUG